AAAUUGAAGAGUUUGAUCAUGGCUCAGAUUGAACGCUGGCGGCAGGCCUAACACAUGCAAGUCGAACGGUAACAGGAAGCAGCUUGCUGCUUCGCUGACAAGUGGCGGACGGGUGAGUAAUGUCUGGGAAACUGCCUGAUGGAGGGGGAUAACUACUGGAAACGGUGGCUAAU
This 173-nucleotide ribosomal RNA is filed under the name Salmonella enterica. RNAcentral's name for it is "partial 16S ribosomal RNA". It matches the Rfam family "Bacterial small subunit ribosomal RNA", at positions 1 to 167 of the family's 1533-position model. Lineage: Bacteria; Pseudomonadati; Pseudomonadota; Gammaproteobacteria; Enterobacterales; Enterobacteriaceae. The record is from RNAcentral.